Molecule: ribosomal RNA, 560 nt
Filed under: Pseudocercospora clerodendri-hastati
Lineage: Eukaryota; Fungi; Ascomycota; Dothideomycetes; Mycosphaerellales; Mycosphaerellaceae
Also listed under: 1 other name
Description: eukaryotic LSU rRNA
Rfam family: Eukaryotic large subunit ribosomal RNA
Source: RNAcentral
AAACCAACAGGGAUUGCCCUAGUAACGGCGAGUGAAGCGGCAACAGCUCAAAUUUGAAAUCUGGCGUAAGCCCGAGUUGUAAUUUGUAGAGGAUGCUUCUGGGUAGCGGCCGGUCUAAGUUCCUUGGAACAGGACGUCAUAGAGGGUGAGAAUCCCGUAUGUGACUGGCUUGCACCCUCCACGUAGCUCCUUCGACGAGUCGAGUUGUUUGGGAAUGCAGCUCUAAAUGGGAGGUAAAUUUCUUCUAAAGCUAAAUACCGGCCAGAGACCGAUAGCGCACAAGUAGAGUGAUCGAAAGAUGAAAAGCACUUUGGAAAGAGAGUUAAAAAGCACGUGAAAUUGUUGAAAGGGAAGCGCCCGCAACCAGACUUUGCGGCGGUGUUCGGCUGGUCUUCUGACCGGUUUACUCGCCGCCGUGAGGCCAUCAUCGUCUGGGACCGCUGGAUAAGACCUGAGGAAUGUAGCUCCCUUCGGGGUGUGUUAUAGCCUCUGGUGAUGCAGCGCGUCUCGGGCGAGGUCCGCGCUUCGGCAAGGAUGAUGGCGUAAUGGUUGUCGGCGGC